RNAcentral lists this ribosomal RNA (1371 nucleotides) under Staphylococcus pseudintermedius. RNAcentral describes it as "partial 23S ribosomal RNA". It matches the Rfam family "Bacterial large subunit ribosomal RNA", at positions 380 to 1756 of the family's 2925-position model. Lineage: Bacteria; Bacillati; Bacillota; Bacilli; Caryophanales; Staphylococcaceae. The record is from RNAcentral.
CGAAAACGAAUUCUCUCUUGAGUGGAUCCUGAGUACGACGGAGCACGUGAAAUUCCGUCGGAAUCUGGGAGGACCAUCUCCUAAGGCUAAAUACUCUCUAGUGACCGAUAGUGAACCAGUACCGUGAGGGAAAGGUGAAAAGUACCCCGGAAGGGGAGUGAAAGAGAACUUGAAACCGUGUGCUUACAAGUAGUCAGAGCCCGUUAAUGGGUGAUGGCGUGCCUUUUGUAGAAUGAACCGGCGAGUUACGAUCUGAUGCAAGGUUAAGCAGAAAAUGUGGAGCCGUAGCGAAAGCGAGUCUGAAUAGGGCGAAUGAGUAUUUGGUCGUAGACCCGAAACCAGGUGAUCUACCCUUGGUCAGGUUGAAGUUCAGGUAACACUGAAUGGAGGACCGAACCGACUUACGUUGAAAAGUGAGCGGAUGAACUGAGGGUAGCGGAGAAAUUCCAAUCGAACUUGGAGAUAGCUGGUUCUCUCCGAAAUAGCUUUAGGGCUAGCCUCAAGUGAUGAUUAUUGGAGGUAGAGCACUGUUUGGACGAGGGGCCCCUCUCGGGUUACCGAAUUCAGACAAACUCCGAAUGCCAAAUAAUUUAACUUGGGAGUCAGAAUGUGGGUGAUAAGGUCCAUAUUCGAAAGGGAAACAGCCCAGACCACCAGCUAAGGUCCCAAAAUAUAUGUUAAGUGGAAAAGGAUGUGGCGUUGCCCAGACAACUAGGAUGUUGGCUUAGAAGCAGCCAUCAUUUAAAGAGUGCGUAAUAGCUCACUAGUCGAGUGACACUGCGCCGAAAAUGUACCGGGGCUAAACAUAUUACCGAAGCUGUGGAUUGUCCUUUGGACAAUGGUAGGAGAGCGUUCUAAGGGCGUUGAAGCAUGAUCGCAAGGACAUGUGGAGCGCUUAGAAGUGAGAAUGCCGGUGUGAGUAGCGAAAGACGGGUGAGAAUCCCGUCCACCGAUUGACUAAGGUUUCCAGAGGAAGGCUCGUCCGCUCUGGGUUAGUCGGGUCCUAAGCUGAGGCCGACAGGCGUAGGCGAUGGAUAACAGGUUGAUAUUCCUGUACCACCAUUAUUCGUUUUAAGCGAUGGGGGGACGCAGUAGGAUAGGCGAAGCGUGCUGUUGGAGUGCACGUCCAAGCAGUGAGAUUGAGUGUUAGGCAAAUCCGGCACUCUUAAGAUUGAGCUGUGAUGGGGAGAGGAACUUGUUCCUCGAGUCGUUGAUUUCACACUGCCGAGAAAAGCCUCUAGCUAGAAUAACGGUGCCCGUACCGCAAACCGACACAGGUAGUCAAGAUGAGAAUUCUAAGGUGAGCGAGCGAACUCUCGUUAAGGAACUCGGCAAAAUGACCCCGUAACUUCGGGAGAAGGGGUGCUCUUU